AAUCAACGCUGGCGGCGUGCCUCAGACAUGCAAGUCGAACGAUUAAAGCUCUCUUCGGAGAGUGUAUAGAGUGGCGCACGGGUGAGUAACACGUAAGUAAUCUACCCUCGAGUGGGGAAUAACAACCGGAAACGGUUGCUAAUACCGCAUAAUGCAGCGGCACCGCAAGGUGACAGUUGUUAAAGAUUUAUCGCUUGAGGAGGAGCUUGCGGCAGAUUAGCUAGUUGGUAGGGUAACGGCUUACCAAGGCUACGAUCUGUAACCGGUCUAAGAGGACGGUCGGUCACACUGACACUGAAUAACGGGUCAGACUCCUACGGGAGGCAGCAGUCGGGAAUUUUGGGCAAUGGGCGAAAGCCUGACCCAGCAACGCCGCGUGAAGGAUGAAGUAUUUCGGUAUGUAAACUUCGAAAGAAUAGGAAGAAUUAAUGACGGUACUAUUUAUAAGGUCCGGCUAACUACGUGCCAGCAGCCGC
RNAcentral lists this ribosomal RNA (476 nucleotides) under uncultured bacterium. RNAcentral's name for it is "bacterial SSU rRNA". It matches the Rfam family "Bacterial small subunit ribosomal RNA", at positions 32 to 518 of the family's 1533-position model. The record is from RNAcentral.